UCCGGCCACAUCACCUCCAUUGAAGGCGGCCGGUGGAGCAUUGGCACAUCUCGCGGUUGCUCACCUAUAAAAGGAACCCCAAGCUACGCUCCUCGCCACCACCGAGCUCGCCGGGCCAUCCCGCUCUGCCGCUCAUCUUCUUCCUCGCUCCAAUUUCGUCAUUGCUCUGUUCUUCGCCGAGAACAGAGCCAUCCCGUCGAUCUCCUCCAUCAUGCCGCGUUGUUCUGAUUGCCUCGAUGCCGACGGAGUGACCGAGGAGGAGAACGCCGAGGAGUUUGGAGAUCAGUACCGCAAGCCAGAGCCAGAAGACCCGUACCGUGAGCAGGAACUUCCGGAAGGCUUUGAAGGCGGCAAGUUCAAUCUCAUCCUUUGAUGCAUAUUUAUCCCAAUUUUAUAAACACAACCUAUUGGCAUGUUUUAUAAAAUGCAUUGUUUUAUUGCAAGACAUUGUUGGAUAGCCACCAUUUGAUUGUUAUGACUAUUCCUUGAUGACCUAGGUUAAUGUCUAUUUAUGAUCUGCUCUGAUGGACGUUAACUAUUGCUAGAAACGCUUAGGGUCUUGUUUCUCAUUUUAUGACUUUACAAAUAUAAUCAUCAAGCGUUUUUCAAAUAAAGAAAAGCGUGAGUCUUGAGAAAGGGUAAAGGGAAGUGUUGGAGAGUAAAGAAAUGAGUAAUUAGACGAAAUGGAUGAAUGGCAUAUCUGUGUGACUUGCCAUAUGGUAGGCUCGUACCUGUUGUGGUUGAGCAAGGUGGGAAGAUAUCUAUUUUGUCACAAUUAAGGACCGAGUUGAUGUGUCAUCUUGCCUAACCCACUUAUCGUACAACCACUCGACCGUCGUGUGGGCAAUGGCUUAGCAUAAACCCCACUAGUUGUUUUGCUAGCCAAUAGGAGAGCUGGUGAGCAACGGGAGAUCAUGAAAAGGGAAUACGAUCUGUGUGAGCUAGGUUCUGGUUAUGACAUCAACCCCAUGAUUGCUUCCGUGUUGGCUAGUUAGAUUCAGCUAAGGUGGGUAAUGGCUUUGAUAGGAUCCGCAGCGACACUAAGGUGUUUGUGAGGUGGUACCCUACUUGUGGGUAAAGUGUACAACCUCUGCAGAGUGUAAAAUAUAUUCGAAUAGCCGUGUCCACGGUAUUGGACGAGUUACAGCAUGGUCACUUCACUAGGCAUUUGGGAUGGUUGGUUUUGUGGUGUGAGUUGUUUUGGAAGCAUCCGGCAGUUGUGCCAUGGGCUACUAUGGACGGAGAGUCCGGUAGCAUUAAAACUUGGGUCCUUUAUGUAGGAUCAACUCCACUUAGUAUUCGAUUACUAAAGAAAUAUUUUGAGAAAACCCUUUUAUAAAAUAAACCCCUUGCAUGUGUAAGCUUUUCAGCGAAUAAACCGUGGGCUUAUCAUUGAUAUAUCCUGUGCAUAUUCUCGUUGUAACCCCUCCGUGGGUGUGGUUGGACUUGUUGAGUACGUAUGUACUCACUCUUGCUUAGUUUUUACAGAGGAAGACCCAGACUUCGUGCCCGAAGACGUUGAGUAGGUGAUCGUCCUGCACCCAAUCUUGCUUGUGGUUCAGGGUCUCCACAGGAAGCUUCUAAUGGCGCAAGACUCUGAUGUUAUCUUAGAUUUCGCUGACAUUUUAGUUUGGCUUGUAGUACUUAUGUUGUCUCUCGUGUUAGUGGUGCUUCAGUGCCCACUACCUCGAUGGUUUGUACGGUAAUGAACCAUCUGAUGUAAUAAAUGUGUUAUCAGCC
This is a long non-coding RNA of Panicum virgatum (switchgrass), 1740 nucleotides long. RefSeq lists it as uncharacterized. The transcript is spliced from 2 exons. NCBI's taxonomy places the organism in Eukaryota, Viridiplantae, Streptophyta, Magnoliopsida, Poales, Poaceae. The record is from RefSeq and is a predicted model, not a curated record.